ACUCCUACGGGAGGCAGCAGUGGGGAAUUUUGGACAAUGGGCGAAAGCCUGAUCCAGCCAUGCCGCGUGCAGGAUGAAGGCCUUCGGGUUGUAAACUGCUUUUGUACGGAACGAAACGGCCUUUUCUAAUAAAGAGGGCUAAUGACGGUACCGUAAGAAUAAGCACCGGCUAACUACGUGCCAGCAGCCGCGGUAAUACGUAGGGUGCAAGCGUUAAUCGGAAUUACUGGGCGUAAAGCGUGCGCAGGCGGUUAUGUAAGACAGUUGUGAAAUCCCCGGGCUCAACCUGGGAACUGCAUCUGUGACUGCAUAGCUAGAGUACGGUAGAGGGGGAUGGAAUUCCGCGUGUAGCAGUGAAAUGCGUAGAUAUGCGGAGGAACACCGAUGGCGAAGGCAAUCCCCUGGACCUGUACUGACGCUCAUGCACGAAAGCGUGGGGAGCAAACAGGAUUAGAUACCCCAGUAGUCCCAUGAU
Molecule: ribosomal RNA, 475 nt
Filed under: uncultured organism
Description: partial 16S ribosomal RNA
Rfam family: Bacterial small subunit ribosomal RNA
Source: RNAcentral